UUUGGUAAUCAGAAACCACGAGAAUCUGUUGAUCUUAUUGAGAUUGUUGUUAUUAACAUCCUUUUGUUUGACUUGAAGAGAUUUGAGAGAAAGAAAGUAAAGUAUUCAAGAACAUAUUUUCAUACAUGCCAAAAAGGUUCUUUGUUACACAUACAUAUAUAGAUCUUUCCUAUGUUUUCUUUUUACCAACUUCAACAGUUAGCUAUGACCACUAGUCUAGCUCAAACACAUCGCCACUUAGAAACAGUAACACUAGUACUUAAGUAAACCUAUUUAUCAAAAGAAACACCUACUCCCUAGUUAACUUAACUUAACUUUCCUAGUUUGGUUUGAGAAACAAAUGGGCAUCAUUCAACACUCCUUCUUGCCCUUUUGUCAAUCAAACCAAGCUUAAAUCGAAAGUACUCAUAGCUCUGACUUCCCAAGGGUUUAGUUAAUAUAUCGGCGAUUUGAUCUUCUCCAUUGCAGAACCUUAAUUGAAUAUCUCCAUUCUUCUCUGCUUCUCUCACUACAUGAUACUUGAUUUGAACAUGCUUAGUCCUCCGGUAUUGAAUAGGAUUUUUCCCUAUCGCUAUAGCAGACUGACUGUCACAGUAGAUAGGUAUUCCUUCAUUGGUUAUGAAAUUCAGAUCAUCAAGAAGUCUUCUUAACCAAGCUGCUUGAUUUGUUGUUGCACAUAAAGCCAUAUACUCUGCUUCUGCAGUGGUCUAAGCAAUGGUGUCUUGAUUACUUGUUUGCCGCGAAAAAAUUGCAGACCCAAUGUUGAAACAAUACCCUGUAGUUGAUUUAAGAUCCUCUCUACAUCCUCCCCAAUCGCUAUUUGAAUACCCAAUUAAUCUUGGCUCAUCAACCGCAGUGAACAUCAAUCCAAAGCUUAGAGUUCCUUGAAUAUAUCUAAGUACUCGUUUUGCCUCCUUGAAGUGUCUGACCUUAGGUUCCUUCAAAUACCGUGACAGGUAAGAUGCUGAGAACAUGAGGUCAGGUCGAGUGGCUGUCAAGUAAAGAAGACCUCCCACAAGACUUUUGUAGACUCCAGCCUCAGCAAACUCUUCUUCUUCUUCGUUUUGGGUUUUGCCUUGAGGUACUAGUAGAGUUUUCAUGCUAGUGCAGUCUUUCAUGUUGAACCUUUCAAGCAGCUUCUUUGAGUAACAUUCUUGAGACAGAGAGAUUCCUUCUUUCUUGUUGGUUUAUCUUCAUUCCUAGAAAGUAGUUCAAUAACUCCAAAUCUGACAUCUCAAACUCAUUUUUCAUGGUUGUCUUGAAGUCUUCUAUCAUCUUCUCAUCGUCGCCUGUAACAAUGAGGUCAUCCACAUAUAUAAAAACUACAAAAAGCUUCCCAUGAUCAUUUUUAGUAUACAAAGCAUGAUCGUUUUUACUCCUUUUGAAGUUCUCUCUCAAGAAGAACUCAUCUAUUUGGCUAUACCAGGCUCUUGGAGCCUGCUUUAAACCAUAGAGAGCUUUAUGCAGCCGAAAAACAUGAUCCUCUUUUCCUUCCUCCUCAAAUCCCAUAGGUUGUUCUACAUAUAUCUCUUCUUCAAGCUUUCCAUUCAAGAAUGCCGACUUAACAUCUAACUGAAACAACUUCCAUUUUCUCUAAGCAGCCACAACAAGAAAUACUCAAAUUGUUUCAUGUCUAGAGACAGGCGCAAACGUUUCUAGAUAAUUAACCCCAUAUUGUUGAGUGAAUCCCCUUGCAACCAGUCUAGCCUUGUGUCUUACAGUGUUUCCUUUUGCAUCUUGUUUCAGCCGGUAUAUCCAUUUCACUCCUACCACAUUUUUGGUUUCAGGUCUUUCCACUAGCUCCCAAGUUUGGUUUUUCACGAUCAUCUGUAUCUCUUCCUCCAUUGCUUCUCUCCAUUCAGAGUGUUUAGCAGCCUUUUCAAAUAGACUUGGUUCUUGAAUUUGUAUAGCACUCUUCCAUUACUCCCGAAUACUCAAUAUUCGUAUAUGGUGCUGUAAGAAGAAUAUCUUCAAGAGACCGAGUCUUUCUGUUUGGUUGACUUGAACUUCCACCAGAACUAUAGUUAACCGAGCUUGAGACAGGUGAUCGAAUAUCUCUUGUUUAUGUAAGUUCUUCACUGCUUGAGCUUGAGUCAUCUCCUGUUGAGCUUUCAUUUGUGACAUCAGAUUCAAGUGUGAUGUCAACCUGUUUGAUCACUUCCUUUCUUUUCCAGUCCCAUUUACUAUUUUCUUCAAAAAUGACAUCUCGGGAUAUGUCUAUCUUGUCUUCUUUCAGUAGAUACACUCUGUAUCCUUUUAUUUGUGAGCUGUACCCAAGGAAUAUCCCCUUCUUUGACUUGUCAUCCCACUUUCUUCUCUUUUCAUAUGGAAUGUGAACAUAGCACACACACCUGAAUAUCUUCAUGUGGCGGCUUACUAAGGGUUUUGAUCCAUACCAAGCUUCAAAUGGGGUUUUGCUUUCAAGAGCUCUGGUUGGAGUUCUGUUUUGCAUAUACGCUGCUGAGUAAACAGCUUCAGCCCAAAAAAUUAGAGGUAGAUCCUUGGAUUUGAUCAUUGCUCUUGCCAUUUCCACCAAGCUUCGAUUUCUUCUUUCUGAAACUCCAUUUUGCUGUGGAGAAUACGCUGCGGUUAGUUGUCUUUCAAUGCCAUUAUCUUCUAAGAAUCUUGUGAAAUCUCCAGAUAAGUAUUCUGUUCCUCUAUCGCUUCUGAUCUUCUUGAUCUUGAGGUUAACUUGGUUUCAACAAGAUUUUUAAACUUCUUGAAGGUUGGGAACACCUCUGAUUUAGUUUUCAGGAAAUAAACCCACACCAUUCUUGUGGCAUCAUCGAUGAAGGUGAGUAAGUACCUGCUUCCACUGAAUGACUUGUUUUGCAUUGGUCCACACACAUCGCUGUGAAUGAGCUCAAGUCUCUCUUUUGCUCUGUUUUCUGCUUCUUUUGGAAAGGAAUCUCUGCAGUGCUUGCUGAUGAUACAACUCUCACACUUUUCUUGAUUUGUCUUGAACUUGGGUAAGCUAACUACCAUCUCCUUUGACUGCAUUAUUUCUAAGUUUGUGUUUCCCGUGUGUCCCAGCCUUUUGUGCCAUAGUUUUGCAAUGUCUUCUUUAGCCACCAUGGUAGAUUCUUUGCCUGAUGACCAAUUGAUGUGGAAACUUUUAUUCUUCAUCUGGACUUCUCCUAUGCUUCUUCCAGAUUGAUCGUAGAUGAUACAACUUUUCUUUUGAAAGAUUACCUUAUACCCGUUUGUAAUCAUUUGUGGAACACUCAACAGGUUUUUGCCAAGUUUGGGAACUAGAAAGACAUCUCUUAUGAUUCUUUUGCCUCUCUUUGUGUUUACUUCCACAUCUCCUUUUCCUUUAGAGAUUAGCACAGCUCCAUCCCAACUUUUAUUGGAACAUUUAUACUUGUGUUGAUCUUGACAAAUAUCUUCUCAUCAAGAGUCAUGUGGUUUGUGCAUCCACUAUCGAUAAGCCACAUGCUUUUGUUGUUUGAUUUCUCAUCAUCUUGGUUUGCAGUAAUCCUGUGUUCUGCUCCCUCUUUCUCUCCAGCCUUCUUCAUAUCUCUUUCUUCUUUUGCGUGAAGUUCCUUCACGUCUUCUUUGGUUGUUUCUUCAACCAAUUUCUGCUUCCUUCCACCUGGUAAGCAGCCUUCCUUCUCUUGUUUGAUUUUUCUAACCACCAUCUUUCUUAUUUCUGAACCUUCUUGGUUCACAGCUUCCCUUUUUCUUGACGAGGCUCCAUGGAUCAAGAUGAGCUCUGAUACCAUGUUGAUCUUAUUGAGAUUGUUGUUAUUAACAUCCUUUUGUUUGACUUGAAGAGAUUUGAGAGAAAGAAAGUAAAGUACUCAAGAACAUAUUUUCAUACAUGCCAAAAAGGUUCUUUGUUACACAUACAUAUAUCGAUUUUUCCUCUGUUUUUUUUUACCAACUUCAACAGUUAGCUAUGACCACUAGUCUAACUCAAACACAUCGCCACUUAGAAACAGUAACACUAGUACUUAUCAAAAGAAACACCUACUCCUUUAACUUAACUUAACUUUUUUAGUUUUGGUUGAGAAACAAAUGGGCAUCAUUCAACAGAAUCGGUACUAUACAAUGGAAAGUAAACCGAACAGAGAAUUCAAGAUUAAAGUGAAGUAUAUAAUUUGCUACGGGAAAAUUGUUUCGAGAAACACAGAAUUUUUAUAAGAAGAAGAAAAAUCGCGUAAAUCUGUUGAGAAUUUCCAUCAAAAACAAUUGAAAAUAAGUCGGAUCAAUGAAAAAAAUCAAAAAAUCUGCAUACCGAUUUAGAUCUCCGGGAUAUAUGAAAUCUGCGAAGAGGAAGAAGGAGGAGGCGAUCUGGUGAGAGGGGAGAAGAAAGUAGGAAGAACAAGACUAAAGAUUUUUU
Molecule: long non-coding RNA, 4345 nt
Filed under: Eutrema salsugineum
Lineage: Eukaryota; Viridiplantae; Streptophyta; Magnoliopsida; Brassicales; Brassicaceae
Description: long non-coding RNA (ESAL_LNC001554)
Source: RNAcentral